Molecule: ribosomal RNA, 1528 nt
Filed under: Klebsiella pneumoniae MGH 66
Lineage: Bacteria; Pseudomonadati; Pseudomonadota; Gammaproteobacteria; Enterobacterales; Enterobacteriaceae
Description: bacterial SSU rRNA
Rfam family: Bacterial small subunit ribosomal RNA
Source: RNAcentral
AGAGUUUGAUCAUGGCUCAGAUUGAACGCUGGCGGCAGGCCUAACACAUGCAAGUCGAGCGGUAGCACAGAGAGCUUGCUCUCGGGUGACGAGCGGCGGACGGGUGAGUAAUGUCUGGGAAACUGCCUGAUGGAGGGGGAUAACUACUGGAAACGGUAGCUAAUACCGCAUAAUGUCGCAAGACCAAAGUGGGGGACCUUCGGGCCUCAUGCCAUCAGAUGUGCCCAGAUGGGAUUAGCUAGUAGGUGGGGUAACGGCUCACCUAGGCGACGAUCCCUAGCUGGUCUGAGAGGAUGACCAGCCACACUGGAACUGAGACACGGUCCAGACUCCUACGGGAGGCAGCAGUGGGGAAUAUUGCACAAUGGGCGCAAGCCUGAUGCAGCCAUGCCGCGUGUGUGAAGAAGGCCUUCGGGUUGUAAAGCACUUUCAGCGGGGAGGAAGGCGAUAAGGUUAAUAACCUCAUCGAUUGACGUUACCCGCAGAAGAAGCACCGGCUAACUCCGUGCCAGCAGCCGCGGUAAUACGGAGGGUGCAAGCGUUAAUCGGAAUUACUGGGCGUAAAGCGCACGCAGGCGGUCUGUCAAGUCGGAUGUGAAAUCCCCGGGCUCAACCUGGGAACUGCAUUCGAAACUGGCAGGCUAGAGUCUUGUAGAGGGGGGUAUAAUUCCAGGUGUAGCGGUGAAAUGCGUAGAGAUCUGGAGGAAUACCGGUGGCGAAGGCGGCCCCCUGGACAAAGACUGACGCUCAGGUGCGAAAGCGUGGGGAGCAAACAGGAUUAGAUACCCUGGUAGUCCACGCCGUAAACGAUGUCGAUUUGGAGGUUGUGCCCUUGAGGCGUGGCUUCCGGAGCUAACGCGUUAAAUCGACCGCCUGGGUAGUACGGCCGCAAGGUUAAAACUCAAAUGAAUUGACGGGGGCCCGCACAAGCGGUGGAGCAUGUGGUUUAAUUCGAUGCAACGCGAAGAACCUUACCUGGUCUUGACAUCCACAGAACUUUCCAGAGAUGGAUUGGUGCCUUCGGGAACUGUGAGACAGGUGCUGCAUGGCUGUCGUCAGCUCGUGUUGUGAAAUGUUGGGUUAAGUCCCGCAACGAGCGCAACCCUUAUCCUUUGUUGCCAGCGGUCCGGCCGGGAACUCAAAGGAGACUGCCAGUGAUAAACUGGAGGAAGGUGGGGAUGACGUCAAGUCAUCAUGGCCCUUACGACCAGGGCUACACACGUGCUACAAUGGCAUAUACAAAGAGAAGCGACCUCGCGAGAGCAAGCGGACCUCAUAAAGUAUGUCGUAGUCCGGAUUGGAGUCUGCAACUCGACUCCAUGAAGUCGGAAUCGCUAGUAAUCGUAGAUCAGAAUGCUACGGUGAAUACGUUCCCGGGCCUUGUACACACCGCCCGUCACACCAUGGGAGUGGGUUGCAAAAGAAGUAGGUAGCUUAACCUUCGGGAGGGCGCUUACCACUUUGUGAUUCAUGACUGGGGUGAAGUCGUAACAAGGUAACCGUAGGGGAACCUGCGGUUGGAUCACCU